UAAAGAAAAAUAAAGGAGAUGUUAUUGCAAGACUGACGACUCUCUUCAACCAUGUGUUGAUAAUUUCAAGCAACAUUAUUUUGUUUUGUUCACCUUCAAUUUGAUUGUUAAUCAACUAAGAAUAUCGGGAUUUUACAUCUUUAUCCAAUUAACUAUCAACCUUUCUGUCUUUCAUUGCUUCAAUAAAUCACUGAUUGUCACAACCUUAAUAAUGCCAAUAUCACCUAAACCAGUGAACCUAAUAUCACUCAUAUGCUUCAAGUCGGUAAACCUGUUCUUUUGGGCAACUGUGUUCUUAAUUGUUUCAAUUAUUAAUUAUUCACAAUUUUACACAAAACAGCCAACAUUUUUGCCAUAUUUGCUUCAUCAUCUGUAUCAUUAAUUUGAGACAGGUCAAUUGUCAACGGUUGUCAAUUAUUUCAAGUUUAUCGGUUGAUCACUUUCAUAAUGGCAUUCAAUGUUAUAUUUCAACACGUAAGAAAUUAAGAAAUAUCAGCUGAUACUUGGUGCAUCUGAUUGACGUUGGCAUUUAUAUACAUUUGGCUAUAACCGUAACUGUCUAUAUUUUCAACUAAAAUUGAAUUUUAAAGUCAUCUGGGUUGGUUUCCUAUUUACUUUCUCAAGGAAAUUACCUCAUCCUAAAUUACUAUUAGCGCUUAUCAUUUCAAAUCAUUUUACGUCUAUAUUGCUUCACACCUUGGUAAUCUUGACAGUCAUCAUUUCCAUGAAAGACCUUCAUCGAUCUUAACAAGAUGAAAUUUUCACAUCAACUGCAUGCGAAGUUUAGGAAAUGGCGAAACUAAACAUUCACAAUUUCCUUAUCCAGCCAAUUGAAUGAAAUACAACGACUUUACUGACCAAUUUUACCUCUGGCCUUUGACUAAACAAUGUCCAUUCAACUCAUGACUUGCCUUUUCAUCUGGAAAACAUGAUGGAAGUGCCUGCAAGUUAAAUCGUUACCGCAUGUUCAAUUGUCCAUCAAGAGGAUGAUAUUUAUGCAUCUUAUCAGCAAACCUCAAACUUGUUCCUGUUUGUGAAGUAAUGUAUUUAUAGUAAAAUGGCCAGUAGGAUAAAUUAAAUAGCCAAGGCCAGAAUCUUUCCAUCAUUUGAGUUCACAUGGACUCGUUAACACCAUUAAACAACUUCAAUGUUUCGUCGUCUGAAGCUUGGCUUCAUUUUCACUUCUUUGGACCUAGGAAAGGCCUUGUACCUGUUGCUCAUAUCAUUGAAUGAUGAAUGUCCAGAAUAUUUUCCAACAGUUCACACCAACUUUUCCAUGAUUUCAAGUUCAUCUGAUGACGGCAAAUGAUUAUCAAGCUUUUGAAAAUGUUUACUUUGAAUCUCAACUGAGCGGAAUAGUUUCUCCUCGCGCAAGUUAGUUUAAAUAUUAAUAAGCUGUUCACAAGGAAUGGCAUGAUGAAAAAAUAUUGAAAAGCUGCAAAUGAGAGGAAACAUGUCAAAGGUCAUUAAAUUAUUGGUAACUUGAAAGACUAAACAACUGUAAUGUUCAACUGGACCGUAAACUGCAAGAAUCAAAAAGGUACAAAGUUUAAAAGAGGGUCACAAAAGUAAUCAAAAGAGUGAAAUAAUUAAACGGGAAAAAAGCGAUAUCGAUAAAAGGCAAAGUAUACAAAUUGCGAAAAGUAAUUCAACAAAAUUUGAAAGUUGAAAUCUUUGAAAACGGAAAAAGUGUCAUUAUUAGUAUAUCAUCAUUUCAAAUAUUCAUGGCAAUAAACAUUGGCAGAGGUCAGAUACAGUUAACAAUCAAGGUGAACUUGUUUCCAUUCACAUGAACAUUAAACUCAAUUAAAUCAAUAUGGUUAUGACUGGCUCUACAGAUUGGAAAAACACAAUUUAAUAAUUACUUCAAAUUCAUUAUCAAUACAAUUUCAGCUUUUGUUUAAUAUUGAUAUUAGAAUCCAUUGAGAACAGAAUUGUUAAUGGAUUCAUUGUCAAUUUGUCAUAUGCUCAACAUCGUUAAUCAAUGCAAAAAAUUCUUAUUUCUGGAUCAUUUUUGCUAAAAAACUAACAAGCAACUUUAAGCUUUAAAAUUUUUUCAUGUUAACGUUUUUUGUUUCAAUGUGAAUUGACUUUAACAAUCUUA
Molecule: long non-coding RNA, 2104 nt
Organism: Tetranychus urticae (two-spotted spider mite)
Lineage: Eukaryota; Metazoa; Arthropoda; Arachnida; Trombidiformes; Tetranychidae
Source: RefSeq, a predicted model, not a curated record